RNAcentral lists this ribosomal RNA (492 nucleotides) under uncultured bacterium. RNAcentral's name for it is "partial 16S ribosomal RNA". It matches the Rfam family "Bacterial small subunit ribosomal RNA", at positions 29 to 507 of the family's 1533-position model. The record is from RNAcentral.
AGUGAACGCUGGCGGUAGGCCUAACACAUGCAAGUCGAACGGCAGCACAGUAAGAGCUUGCUCUUACGGGUGGCGAGUGGCGGACGGGUGAGGAAUACAUCGGAAUCUACUUUUUCGUGGGGGAUAACGUAGGGAAACUUACGCUAAUACCGCAUACGACCUACGGGUGAAAGCAGGGGAUCUUCGGACCUUGCGCGAUUGAAUGAGCCGAUGUCGGAUUAGCCAGUUGGCGGGGUAAAGGCCCACCAAGGCGACGAUCCGUAGCUGGUCUGAGAGGAUGAUCAGCCACACUGGAACUGAGACACGGUCCAGACUCCUACGGGAGGCAGCAGUGGGGAAUAUUGGACAAUGGGGGCAAGCCUGAUCCAGCCAUACCGCGUGGGUGAAGAAGGCCUUCGGGUUGUAAAGCCCUUUUGUUGGGAAAGAAAAGCAGCAGGUUAAUACCCCGCUGUUCUGACGGUACCAAAAGAAUAAGCACCGGCUAACUUCGUG